UCAAGACAGCCACUGGCAUGCUACGAGGAUCCUCUGACAGCUUGGUUUAUAUCCAGGAAGUGACUAUAGACAAACCUUCCAUUGGACAUGGACUUGGUGAAUGAAGUACAGAAGCAGACAAGAAAUAAAAACGUAAAUGCUCUUCUGUGGAUGCAAUGGAACUGAGAAGUGCUUUGUGGAAGACAGCCAUGUCUUGGGAGCCGGAAAUGCUCCCAAGGAAAGGCUGCCUUGAAGGCCACCUGAGGAUUCACCUACUUCAACUGGGCCACAGGGGUUUCCAGGAACUUUAAUUGGGUCACAGUUCCAGAACAGACCCGCUGGCUGACAAGCGCAAUGGGAAUUAUGGUUUUGCUGUUCUUCUGGCCCAUGCCCAACCCUCAAUCAGACUGACCCACAAGGAAACCUAGGGCUGAAGGGGUGUGCCAUCCUCUCCUGCCACUAUGCUUUUAUGGCCCAUUUAAGUAGCAGCAGAUUUUUUAUUUUAUUGAUUUAUUUAAUAAAUUUUAAGGUUUAUUUGUU
This is a long non-coding RNA of Grammomys surdaster, 519 nucleotides long. RefSeq lists it as uncharacterized. The record is from RefSeq and is a predicted model, not a curated record. The transcript has 2 exons. NCBI's taxonomy places the organism in Eukaryota, Metazoa, Chordata, Mammalia, Rodentia, Muridae.